Molecule: long non-coding RNA, 151 nt
Organism: Poecilia latipinna (sailfin molly)
Lineage: Eukaryota; Metazoa; Chordata; Actinopteri; Cyprinodontiformes; Poeciliidae
Exons: 3
Source: RefSeq, a predicted model, not a curated record
AGCCCAAACGAUGAUUGGCUGGAGCGAGGCUUGGUCCGCGCCGAUAGGUCCAGGUUGCAGAGAGGCGGGCGCUGAUUGAUGAGGCAGGUGCGACUAGAGUCUUCCAGACUGAACUUUUGUCAAGACUCCAUUUCACAAAUAUUUUGUAGAA